Molecule: ribosomal RNA, 449 nt
Filed under: uncultured bacterium
Lineage: Bacteria
Description: partial 16S ribosomal RNA
Rfam family: Bacterial small subunit ribosomal RNA
Source: RNAcentral
AACGAACGCUGGCGGCAUGCCUAACACAUGCAAGUCGAACGAGAUCUUCGGGUCUAGUGGCGCACGGGUGCGUAACGCGUGGGAAUCUGCCCUUUGGUUCGGAAUAACAGUUGGAAACGACUGCUAACACCGGAUGAUGACGAAAGUCCAAAGAUUUAUCGCCAGAGGAUGAGCCCGCGUAGGAUUAGCUAGUUGGUGUGGUAAAGGCGCACAAAGGCGACGAUCCUUAGCUGGUCUGAGAGGAUGAUCAGCCACACUGGGACUGAGACACGGCCCAGACUCCUACGGGAGGCAGCAGUGGGGAAUAUUGGACAAUGGGCGAAAGCCUGAUCCAGCAAUGCCGCGUGAGUGAUGAAGGCCCUAGGGUUGUAAAGCUCUUUUACCCGGGAUGAUAAUGACAGUACCGGGAGAAUAAGCCCCGGCUGACUCCGUGCCAGCAGCCGCCGUAA